RNAcentral lists this ribosomal RNA (402 nucleotides) under uncultured Rhodobacter sp. RNAcentral describes it as "bacterial SSU rRNA". It matches the Rfam family "Bacterial small subunit ribosomal RNA", at positions 353 to 772 of the family's 1533-position model. Lineage: Bacteria; Pseudomonadati; Pseudomonadota; Alphaproteobacteria; Rhodobacterales. The record is from RNAcentral.
AGUGGGGAAUCUUAGACAAUGGGGGAAACCCUGAUCUAGCCAUGCCGCGUGAGCGAUGAAGGCCUUAGGGUUGUAAAGCUCUUUCAGUGGGGAAGAUAAUGACGGUACCCACAGAAGAAGCCCCGGCUAACUCCGUGCCAGCAGCCGCGGUAAUACGGAGGGGGCUAGCGUUGUUCGGAAUUACUGGGCGUAAAGCGCACGUAGGCGGACUGGAAAGUCAGGAGUGAAAUCCCGGGGCUCAACCCCGGAACUGCCUUUGAAACUCCCAGUCUUGAGGUCGAGAGAGGUGAGUGGAAUUCCAAGUGUAGAGGUGAAAUUCGUAGAUAUUCGGAGGAACACCAGUGGCGAAGGCGGCUCACUGGCUCGAUACUGACGCUGAGGUGCGAAAGCGUGGGGAGCAAA